RNAcentral lists this unclassified non-coding RNA (524 nucleotides) under Homo sapiens (human). RNAcentral describes it as "complement component 4B (Chido/Rodgers blood group), copy 2 (ENSG00000233312.9)". The record is from RNAcentral. Lineage: Eukaryota; Metazoa; Chordata; Mammalia; Primates; Hominidae.
UCCCUGGGACUGAGGAGGCAGAAUGGAGGGGCCUGUGCCCUAACUCCUCUCUGUUCUCCAGAGCGCAGAUGUUCUGUGUUUUACGGGGCACCAAGUAAGAGCAGACUCUUGGCCACCUUGUGUUCUGCUGAAGUCUGCCAGUGUGCUGAGGGGAAGUGCCCUCGCCAGCGUCGCGCCCUGGAGCGGGGUCUGCAGGACGAGGAUGGCUACAGGAUGAAGUUUGCCUGCUACUACCCCCGUGUGGAGUACGGUCAGUCUUCCCACCGAGGCCCUGGCCUGACCCUCCCUCGGGGACCGGCCGUUUUGGUCUCUCUGGGUGUAGCCUGCUCCUCUUACAGGUCAUGCACGCAGCCUGUUUGCUCUGACACCAACUUCCUACCCUCUCAGCCUCAAAGUAACUCACCUUUCCCCCUUCUCCUCACCCCCUCUUAGGCUUCCAGGUUAAGGUUCUCCGAGAAGACAGCAGAGCUGCUUUCCGCCUCUUUGAGACCAAGAUCACCCAAGUCCUGCACUUCAGUAUGAAG